GACGAACGCUGGCGGCGUGCCUAAUACAUGCCAGUUGAGCGAUGAAGCUUGGUGCUUGCACCAAUUUGAAGAGCAGCGAACGGGUGAGUAACGCGUGGGGAAUCUGCCUUUGAGCGGGGGACAACAUUUGGAAACGAAUGCUAAUACCGCAUAACAACUUUAAACAUAAGUUUUAAGUUUGAAAGAUGCAAUUGCAUCACUCAAAGAUGAUCCCGCGUUGUAUUAGCUAGUUGGUGAGGUAAAGGCUCACCAAGGCGAUGAUACAUAGCCGACCUGAGAGGGUGAUCGGCCACAUUGGGACUGAGACACGGCCCAAACUCCUACGGGAGGCAGCAGUAGGGAAUCUUCGGCAAUGGACGAAAGUCUGACCGAGCAACGCCGUGUGAGUGAAGAAGGUUUUCGGAUCGUAAAACUCUGUUGGUAGAGAAGAACGUUGGUGAGAGUGGAAAGCUCAUCAAGUGACGGUAACUACCCAGAAAGGGACGGCUAACUACGUG
This 497-nucleotide ribosomal RNA is filed under the name uncultured bacterium. Its description in RNAcentral is "partial 16S ribosomal RNA". It matches the Rfam family "Bacterial small subunit ribosomal RNA", at positions 28 to 507 of the family's 1533-position model. The record is from RNAcentral.